This is a non-coding RNA of Pelodiscus sinensis (Chinese soft-shelled turtle), 1126 nucleotides long. The record is from RefSeq and is a predicted model, not a curated record. NCBI's taxonomy places the organism in Eukaryota, Metazoa, Chordata, Testudines, Trionychidae.
GAAGUGGCAGGGAGCAGAGCGUUACUGGGUCUAUACGUUGUGUAAUAGAACUAACCUGUAACUGUCUGUUUUUGUGUUUUGCUUUUUUUACUUAUAUAGGCCAAAGCCUCCUGAUAUUAACUGCACUGAUCAGAUGGGAAAUACACCACUACAUUGUGCAGCAUACCGUGCCCACAGGCACUGUGCCUUAAAACUUCUAAAAAAUGGUGCAGACUCUAAAAUCAGAAACAAAAAUUCCCAGACACCAUUUGAUCUAGCACAAGGUGCAGAAAUGAAACUGAUACUUGGAGGAAGCCUUGAAAAGGUAAUCAACAAACGCCUGAAACGAUAUGAAGGUCUCCUGUGGAUGGUACGUCCUCUUUUCCGUUUUUUGUAAUAUGUAAAACAACAUGAAUUGUUUUUUCCAAAUCUCUCCUUGAAGAUUGUCUUCUGUUCUUGAGAGGGGGCUGAUAGAUGAGACUUAUCAGUGAUACCUUAACUGUUACAUUUAUAAUCCAUUUCCCAACCUAAUCCUAGGACAGGAAGGCUAGUCCGAGAUUCAAAAUUUCUGGGUGUAAUACCUGGGUGUAGAUUCCCUGUGACAUUGGGAAAAAUCUCCCUUCAUCUGCCUUGUCACACUUCACAUCUGUACAAUGGGGAUAGUACUUGCCUACUUUUAAAGAUCAACUUGAUUGAUAACUGAGCAGUGCUUCUACUACAGUUUUGAAGGCCACAUAAGUAUCUAGAUAAUCUAAUUGCUGGUUCACUGCAGUUCAGCAUGAUCCAUUGGAUAGAUCCUAUUCCCAAAUCCUUGAAAACUGAACAGCAAAGAAGAUGGUAAUAAUUAAAAAAAUGUUGUUCUGUACCGUUCCCAAGAGACGUUCUAUCUCUCAUGACUUAUUAUAGGCAAAAAUAUGCAUAUAACUCCACUAAAUCCCAUUAGAUGUUUGAUAAAGUUGCUUCAUCUAUUGUACCUAAAGUUUUUGAAGAGUGAAUUUAUUUUUUUAAAAAUCCUAUAAAUAGUUUGGCUUAAACCAGAAUUCAGUGUAAUGAUUUAUAGUCAGCUAACUCCAGAUACAAAGCUAUUUAUUUAUAUCCUAAGAACAACAUAUUAAGCUGUAGUUUGUAGAAUGCACUCCCCUCAAUC